UUACCUGGUUUGAUCCUGCCAGUAGUCAUAUGCUUGUCUCAAAGAUUAAGCCAUGCAUGUCUAAGUACAAGCCGCGUACGCGGCGAGACUGCGGACGGCUCAUUAAAUCGGUUAUGACUCCACUGGGGCCAGACUCACCCGUGGAUAACGUGCGGUAACUCCGGUGCUAAUACAUGCAACAAGGCUCCGACCCCGUCUUCGGGCGGGGGAAGGGCGCACUUAUUAGGCUAAAACCAAUCGCUCGCUUUCGGGCGGGCGUUGGUGGACGACACCCGAGUAAUUGCCGCCGAUCGCACGGCCUUCGAGCCGGCGACGCCUACACUGAGUUUCUGAUCUAUCAUGCUGACGACGGUUGGUGCUAUGCCAACCGUGGCGUUAACGGAUAACAGAGAAUCUGGGUUCGAUUCUGGAGAGGCCGCAUGAGAAACGGCGACCACUUCCAAGGAAGGCAGCAGGCACGCAAAUUACCCACUUCGGACACCGAGAGGUAGUGACGAACAAUACCGAUGCGGCGCACUUACGUGUCGCCGUAAUCGGAAUGAGUACACUUCAAAUCCUUUAACGAGGAUCCACUGGAGGGCAAGCCUGGUGCCAGCAGCCGCGUAUGGUUGCCAAAGCUGAAACUUAAAGGAAUUGACGGAAGGGCACCACCAGGAGUGGAGCCUGCGGCUUAAUUUGACUCAACACGGGAAACCUCACCCGGCCCGAACACUGUUAUGACAGACAGGUUGAGAGCUCUUUCUCGAUUCAGUGGUUGGUGGUGCAUGGCCGUNCUUAGUUCGUGGAGCGAUCUGUCUGGUUAAUUCCGAUAACGAACGAGACUCUUGCCUGCUAAAUAGACGGCGCCGACUCAGCGCGGCGACCGUUCGCUUCUUAGAGGGACAAGCGGCUUUUAGCCGCGUGAAGCUGAGAGCAAUAACAGGUCAGUGAUGCCCUCAGAUGUUCGGGGCCGCACGCGCGCUACACUGUUUGCAUCAGCGUGUUUCUCCCGUGCCGGCUGGCACGGGCAACCCGUUGAAACGCAAACGUGCUAGGGAUCGGAGAUUGCAAUUGUUCUCCGUGAACGAGGAAUUCCUUGUACUUGCGAGUCAUCAGCUCGCGGGGAAUCUGUCCCUGCCCUUUGUACACAYCGCCCGUCGCUACUACCGAUUGAGUGGUUUAAGUGAGGCUCACGGAGCUGCGAGCGGCACUCGGCGCUUUCGGGCGUCGCGCCGCGAGCGGAAAGUGAGACGAACUUGAUCACUUCUAGGAAGUAAAAGUCGUAACAAGGUUUUCGUAGGUGAACCUGGNAAAAGGA
RNAcentral lists this ribosomal RNA (1297 nucleotides) under Flustra foliacea (greater hornwrack). RNAcentral's name for it is "bacterial SSU rRNA". It matches the Rfam family "Eukaryotic small subunit ribosomal RNA". The record is from RNAcentral. Lineage: Eukaryota; Metazoa; Bryozoa; Gymnolaemata; Cheilostomatida; Flustridae.